GUGCCCGUAGCUCAAUUGGAUAGAGCGUCUGCCUCCGGAGCAGAAGGUUACAGGUUCAAGCCCUGCCGGGCAUACCA
RNAcentral lists this transfer RNA (77 nucleotides) under Victivallales bacterium. RNAcentral's name for it is "tRNA-Arg". It matches the Rfam family "tRNA". From Rfam's summary of the family: Transfer RNA (tRNA) molecules are approximately 80 nucleotides in length. Their secondary structure includes four short double-helical elements and three loops (D, anti-codon, and T loops). Lineage: Bacteria; Pseudomonadati; Lentisphaerota; Lentisphaeria; Victivallales. The record is from RNAcentral.